This 71-nucleotide transfer RNA is filed under the name Ipomoea nil (Japanese morning glory). It matches the Rfam family "tRNA". Rfam says of the family: Transfer RNA (tRNA) molecules are approximately 80 nucleotides in length. Their secondary structure includes four short double-helical elements and three loops (D, anti-codon, and T loops). Lineage: Eukaryota; Viridiplantae; Streptophyta; Magnoliopsida; Solanales; Convolvulaceae. The record is from Rfam by way of RNAcentral.
GCUUUUAUAGCUCGGUGGUAGAGUAUCAGUUUUGUAAAUUGAAGGUCAUAGUUCAAUCCUGCAUGGAGGCA